This is a long non-coding RNA of Tyto alba (common barn owl), 1020 nucleotides long. RefSeq lists it as uncharacterized. The record is from RefSeq and is a predicted model, not a curated record. The transcript is spliced from 5 exons. Lineage: Eukaryota; Metazoa; Chordata; Aves; Strigiformes; Tytonidae.
AGUUGAGGAUGGAGGUGGAAGGGAGGAGCUGGUCGUGACUGGGGGCUUUGGGGCAGCCUGUCCUUCGAAGUGGGCCAGGCGGUCCCCGGGAGCUGUGCGCUUGCCUGGGGGGCUCGCCCGGCUCGCUGCAGCGCGCUCCGGGCUGCGAGUUCGCCCGUGAGCGCCAGGGUUUCUGUAGCACCACGGGGACGUGGUCCGGGCGACGGCACCGUGCUGUUCUGGGGAGGUCGGACAUCCCUGGUCUGCAGAGGAGCCCUGGGAUCCCCACCAGAGAUGGAGAGGAGAAGAAUGAAGAGCAGGACUUUGGAAUGUCUUUGCAUAAACCCUCGGAUGUGUAGGGCUGAGGAACCGAGCUGCAAUGAUCCAGGGAGAGGAAUGACAGUGGCUGAAUGUCACCUCGCACCUUCCUGUCUUCACUGAGCUUUCUUCUCUGGGAAGAAACCAAGUCUGAGGAGCAGCCGUGGGACUUGUGCAAAGCCUGGUGGAAAAUAGGAGUGACCGUGGAAGAGAGAAAACCCACCAGACUCUACUCCAGUCCCUGUUUUUCCCCUUUAUAGCCUGAGGGAUGUGGAACGGGCACAAACACCGCAGGUCUGGCCAGGAAACCUUCAAGUAGCAGCACUUUCCCUUUUAAGCAGCCUCACUGCGCAGGGCUGAUACUAAAGAGCAGUGGGGAUGCAAUCCACGUGCCGAAGGACACUGGGACCUCUGCGUUUCGGUGGAUGGUGGAGGAGGAAAUCUGCCGACGCCGAGACCUGUUCAUGUUGACUUCCUGCCUGAACAUACGCACCAUAUGCUCAAUCUUUACUUAAUGUAAAUCAAUGCUAAUCCAUCGACGCCACCGAAGCUGGGCUAUUUUAGCCAUCGAGAGCCUAGCCUUCUGUAUCGUACGCGCUCAGCUGUGACUUCAUAGCUCAAAAAAUAUUAAACAGCACUCAGUGGGGAGCAAGGGGGCACAUACACAUUUAAUUCAAGUGAAAUAAAAUUCUCAAUUUUUUUAAUAAAUCCAUUUUAUGGCUG